GCACAAGCGGUGGAGCAUGUGGUUUAAUUCGAAGCAACGCGAAGAACCUUACCAGGUCUUGACAUCCCCUGACAACCGAGAGAUCGGGCGUUCCCCUUCGGGGGACAGGGUGACAGGUGGUGCAUGGUUGUCGUCAGCUCGUGUCGUGAGAUGUUGGGUUAAGUCCCGCAACGAGCGCAACCCUUAUCUUUAAUUGCCAGCAUUCAGUUGGGCACUUUAAAGAGACUGCCGGUGUUAAACCGGAGGAAGGUGGGGAUGACGUCAAGUCCUCAUGGCCUUUAUGCUUAGGGCUACACACGUGCUACAAUGGGUGGUACAAAGAGAAGCCAACUCGCGAGAGCGCGCCAAUCUCAAAAAGCCAUCCUCAGUUCGGAUUGGAGUCUGAAACCCGACUCCAUGAAGGUGGAAUCGCUAGUAAUCGCGCAUCAGCAUGGCGCGGUGAAUACGUUCCCGGGCCUU
This 459-nucleotide ribosomal RNA is filed under the name uncultured Smithella sp. RNAcentral describes it as "bacterial SSU rRNA". It matches the Rfam family "Bacterial small subunit ribosomal RNA", at positions 923 to 1382 of the family's 1533-position model. Lineage: Bacteria; Pseudomonadati; Thermodesulfobacteriota; Syntrophia; Syntrophales; Smithellaceae. The record is from RNAcentral.